GGAGGUUGCAGUAAACUGAGAUAGUACCACCACACUACAGCCUGGGCCACAGAGUGAGACUCCAUCUCCAUGAAAAGAAAAAAAAAAAAAAAAAGAAUGGGCCUGCUUAGCUCCUAGUUCACCCUGUUUUUUCAGCCAAUCCCUCCAGACCUCAGGGGGUGGCAGCAGCAUUUGUACUCUAGGCUCAUCUUCUCCCUCAGGUCUUACAGUCAAUUAUAUUACUAAUCAGGAAAAGAUAUUGAGGCUGCCUACUCAGCUGCCAUUUCCCUCUUUUUUACUAUUAUUUUUUUUAAUAGAGACGGGGUCUCACUAUGUUGCCCAGGCUGGUCUUGAACUCCUGGGCUCAAGCAAUCCUCCUGCCUCAAGAUUUACAAAUGUGAGCCACCACACCAUGCCAGUCCUCCCUCUUUUUCCCUUAGUUUUUGUUUUUGUUUUGAGACGGAGUCUCACUCUGUCGCCAGGUGUCAGUGCAGUGGCACAAUCUCAGCUCACUGCAACCUCCACCUCCUAGGUUCAAGCAAUUCUCCUGCCUAAGCCUCCCGAGCAGCUGGGAUUAUAGACGCCAGUCACCAUGCCCACCUAAUUUUUGUAUUUUUAGUAGAGAUGGGGUUUCACCAUGUUGGCCAGGCUGGUCUCCAACUCCUGGCCUCAAGCAAUCCACCUGCCUCAGCCUCACAAAGUGUACUAGGAUUACAGACAUGAGCCACUGUCCCCAGCCUAGUAUAACACUUCUAAAAAAAAAAAAAAAAAAAGUCUGUAUUUCAGCUGGGCGCGGUGGCUCACCCCAGAUUGUGCCAUUUUAAAACAUUCUCCAAAGCAGCAAGAUUUCAUUUUUUAACAAGACAGUAUUACAGGUCUAAAUUCAAUUUAAUAUUCUCAAAAUAUUACUGAGAACCUAUUUUACAAAGCAAAGUACCAGGGGCUAUAAAACUUACAUACCCACAAAUAUAUACAUCUACUAUGUACCCACAAAAAUUGAAAAUAAAAAAAUUAAAAAUAAAAAGCUUCACUUUGGGAGGUUGAGGCAGGCGGAUCACUUGACUUCAAGAGUUUGAGAUCAGCCUGGCCAACAUGGUGAAACCCUGUCUCUACUAAAAAUACAAAAGUUAGUCAGGUGGUGGUGGCACGUGCCUAUAAUCCCAGCUACUGGGGAGGCUGAGGCAGGAAAAUUGCUUGAACCAGGAGGCAGAGGUUGCAGUGAGCCUAGAUUACACUAUUGCCCUCCAGUCUGGGCAACUCAAAAAAAUAAAUAAGUAAAUAACAACAAAAAGCCGACAUAGCCAAAUAAGACAAUCCUUGUUCAAAACAUGUUGUAUUAUAUGCUUAAAAUGGCAAAUACAAGGUACCUAUACUGUGAUAGUACAAACAUUCACUAAAUUGUUUAAAACAUUUGUAAAUGCCUCAGAUAGCAUGUCUUUGUCUAUCGUUUGAGGAUAUUAAAAUUGUUUUUUGAUGUGAUGAUAUUGUGGCAUAAUAUGAAAUAUAUUUGGCCAGGUGCGGUGGCUCACUCCUGUAAUCCCAGCACUUUGGGAGGCUGAGGGGGGCGGAUCAUGAGGGCAGGAGAUCGAGACCAUCCUGGCUAACAGGGUGAAACCCUGUCUCUACUAAAAAUACAAAAAAAAAAAAAAAAAAUUAGCCAGGCAUGGUGCCCGGUGCCUAUAGUCCCAGCUACUCAGGAGGCUGAGACAGGAGAAUGGCGUGCACCCGGGAGGCGGAGCUUGCAGUGAGUCGAGAUCACACCACUGCACUCCAGUCUGGGCGACAGAGCGAGACUCUGUCUCAAAAAUAUAUAUAUAUAUUUGGUCUUUGUUUCAGGUUCCUGCCACACAGCUUCUGAAACCCUUGGAAUUUCCUGAGUGAUAGGAGCUGUCUUUUGUUAUUCAUUAGAAGCCCCUUUGGAUCCCACCUAAAUUUAUGCUAUUGAAGUGACUUAGUGUGGGAUCCCUAGGCCUCAGGAUGGGACUGCUGCUCACUAAAAAAACUGACGGGUUAGAUAAUUGGAACUUUCAUCCCCACCCACCAAUCUCUGGGGAAGCUGGAAAUUAAGAUCUAUAGAAAUUUUUUUUUUUUUUUUUUUUUUGAGACAGGCUCUUGCUUUUUUACUCAGGCUGUGAUGCAGUGGCAUGAUCAUAGCUCACUGCAGCCUCAACCUCUGGGCUCAAGUGACCCUCUCACCUCAGCCUCCCAAGUAGUUGGGACUACAGGUGUGCGCCGCCAUGCCCAGCUAAUUUUUAUAAGAUUUUUUGAACGGGAUCUCACUGUGUUAGCCCAGGUUUGUCUCAAACUCCUGGGAUCAAGUGAUCCUCCUACCUUGGUCCCCCAAAGUGCUGGGAUUAUAGGUGUGAGCCACUGCACCCAGCCUAGACACUCCUGAACCACUAGAUGUGAUUAGCUUCAGGGUAGUUGAACACAGGGGGAUGCUGGGGAGUUGGUGCACCCAGAGAGGGCACAGAAGCUCUGCACCUCUCCCACCGCAUACCUUGCCCAAUGCAUUACUUCAUCUGGCUGUUCAUCUGUAUCAUUUAUAAUAUUCUUUAUAAUAAACUGUUAAACAUAAGUAAAGUGUUUCCCUGUGAGCCGUCCUAGCUAAUUAUCAAAGCAAAAAGAGUGGUCAUGGGAACCCUGACUUAUAGCCAGUAGAUUAGAAGCACUGGUCACAACCUGUGAAUUGAGAUUAGUGUCUGAGUGAAGGCAGUCUUGUGGUAGUCUCCAGGCAGACGGUGUCAGAAUUAAAGUGAGUUACCGGAUACCCAGUUGGAGAACUGGUUGAUGUGUGGGGGAAAACUCCUACAUAUCUGGUGUCAGAAAUAAAGUACUGGUUCACACCUGUAAUCCUAGCACUUUGGGAGGCCAAGACAGGUGGAUCACUUGAGCCCAGGAAUUCAAGACUGGCCUGGACAACAUGGUGAAUUUUUUUUUUUUUUUUUGAGACAAGAGUCUCACUCUGUCGCCCAGGCUAGAGUGCAGUGGCAAGAUCUCGGCUCACUGCAAGCUCUGCCUCUGGGGUUCACGCCAUUCUCCCGCCUCAGCCUCCCAAGUAGCUGGAACUAUAGGCACCCGCCACCACACCCAGCUAAUUUUUUGUAUUUUUAGUAGAGACGGGGUUUCACCAUGUUAGCCAGGAUGGUCUCAAUCUCCUGACCUCGUGAUCCGCCCCUCCCAAAGUGCUGGGAUUACAGGCAUGAGCCACCUCACCCAGCCAACAUGGUGAAAUCUAUCUCAACUAAAAAUACAAAAAAUUAGUGGGGUGUGGUAGCACCAACCUAUAGUCCCAACUAUUUGGGAGGCUGAGGUGGGAGGAUUACCUGAGCCCGGGAAGUGGAGUCUGUAGUGAGGCAAGGUCAUGCCACUGCGCACCUGUCUAAGCAACAGCAGUGAGACCCUGUCUCAAAUUUAAAAAAAAAAAAAAAAAAAAAAGGAGGGGAAAGUACUGAGAGGAGUGUGAGAGGAUAGGAAACAACUUGGUUUUUCCUAUCUCUUACACAUAUCUUGGCUAAGCUUUUUUUAAAACAAUCCUUAUCGUUUUAAGGUAUAUACAAAAAUAUUUAUGAGUAAAAUGAUGUCCAAGAUUUGCUUCGAAAUCAUCUGAAAGGGGAAACAGAAGUAACGCUAGCCAUGAACUGUUACAGUAGUUAAAUCUGAUUGAUAGGUACAUGGUAGUUCGUGACUAUACUUCCGUGUUUGAAAUUUCACAUAAUAAUGAAGGGUUUUGCUGGGUGCAGUGGCUCACACCUGUAAUCCCAGCAUUUUGGGAGGCCAAGGUGAGUGGAUCACGAGGUCAGGAGAUCGAGACCAUCCUGGCUAACAUGGUGAAACACCAUCUCUACUAAAAAUACAAAAACAAAAUUAGCCAGGCGUGUUGGCAGGCACCUGUAGUCCCAGCUACUCCAGAGGCUGAGGCGGGAGAAUGGCGUGAACCCGGGAGGCGGAGCUUGCAGUGAGCCAAGAUCACACCACUGCACUCCAGCCAGGGCGACAGAGUGAGACGCCAUCUCAAAAAAAUAACAAUAAUAACAAUAAUAAUAAUGAUGGGUUUUGGCCUGGCAUGGUUGUUCACACCUGUAAUCCCAGCACUUUGGGAGGCCGAGGCAGGCGGAUCACCUGAGGUCACACGUUCGAGACCAGCCUGGCCAACAUGGCGAAACCCUGUCUCCACUAAAAAUACAAAAAAUUUAGCCAGGCAUGGUGGUGGUCACCUGUAAUCCCAGCUACUCAGGAGGCUGAGGCAAGAGAAUCACUUGAACCCAAGAGGUGGAGGUCACAGUGAGCUGAGAUCGCACCAUUGCACUCCAGCCUGGGCGACAGAGCAGGCCUCCGUCUCAAAUAAAACAAAUAAUGAAGGGUUUUUUCAAAAAAUAGUACAUGUAGAUGGCUUUCUUUUCUCCACAAAAAAGUUUUCUUCCAAAGACUGAAAAUAUUUUUUGUCAGGCACACUGCCAAAUACUGGAUAUUGCUGCUGUACAACAUUUUAUUUUUUAUUUUAGUUAUUUUGUUUUAUACUUUAUAUUUUAUUUUAUCUUAUUUUAUUUUAAGAUGGAGUUUUGCUCUUGUCGCCCAUUUCAUUUUAUUUUAUUUUAUUUAUUUUGAGAUGGAGUUUUGCUCUUGUCACCCAGGCUGGAGUGUAAUGGUGCGAUCUCAGCUCACCACAACCUCUGCCUCCCAGGUUCAAGCGAUUCUCCUGCCUCAGCCUCCCUAGUAGCUGGGAUUACAGGUGCCCACCAUCACACCCGGAUAGUUUUUCUAUUUUCAGUCAAGACGGGGUUUCACCAUGUUGGCCAGGCUGGUCUCGAACUCCUGACCUUAGGUGAUUCACCCACCUCAGCCUCCCAAAAUGCUGGGAUUACAGGCAUGAGCCACUACAACUGGCCCAUUGUUGGUUUUAAAAUGAUAAAUUGGGCUGGGUGCGGUGGCUCACACCUGUAAUCCCAGCACUUUAGGAGGCAGGCAGAUCACAAGAUCAAGAGAUCAAGACCAUCUUGGCCAACAUGGUGAAACCCCAUCUCUACUAACAAUACAAAAAUUAGCUGGGCGUGGUGGCGUACACCUGUCGUCCCAGCUACUUGGAGGGCUGAGGCAGGAAAAUUGCUUGAACCGGGGAGGUAGAAGUUGCAGUGAGCUAAGAUCGCACCCCUGCACUCCAGCCCAGCAAUAAAGCGAGACUCCAUCUCAAAAAAAAAAAAAACCAAAAACCAAAAAGCCGGACACGGUGGUUCACGUCUGUAAUCCCAGCACUUUGGGAGGCCAAGGUAGGCGGAUCACAAGGUCAGGAGUUCAAAACCAGCCUGGCCAACACAGUGAAACCCCAUCUCUACUAAAAAUACAAAAAAUUAGCCGGGCGUGGUGGCAUGUGCCUGUAGUCCCAGCUAUUCGGGAGGCAGAGGCAGGAGAAUCGCUUGAACUGGGGAGGUGGAGGCUGCAGUGAGCCGAGAUCAUGCCAUUGCACUCCAGCCUGGGCAACAGGGCGAGACUCCAUCUCAAAAAAAAAAAAAACCCAACAGUGACAAGUAGCAUAACAACAUUCUUUUUUUUCUUUGUUCUCUGAGAUGGAAUUUCACCCUUGUCCCCCAGGCUGGAGUGCAAUGGGGGGAUAUCAGCUCACUGCAACCUCCGCCUCCCAACUUCAACUGAAGCUACUGCCUCAGCCGCACGACUAGCUGGGAUUACAGGCCCCUGCACCAUGCCCAGCUAAUUAUUGUAUUUUUAGUUGAGAUGGGGUUUCACCAUGUUGGUCAGGCUGGUCUCAAACUUCUGACCUCAGGUGAUCUGCCUGCCUUGGCCUCCCUAAGUGCUGGGAUUACAGGCGUGAGCCACGGCGCCCAGCCAACAUUCUUUUCUCUUUUUUAAUAUACUUGCAUGAGGUAUAAAUAGUACUUAAACCAAUAAAACGACAAAUAUCUGAACUUCUUACCCAGUGUUUUGUGACUUCUUUCCACAGCUGUUCUUUGAGUUUGUUCAAACAUUGCUUCCAAGUCAAAUGUGUGAGCUUUUUUACCUAAAACAUGAACAAAUGGGAGACUGUGAUUGUCUUGCAGUAAGUUGGCCAAACUUUAGGUGAUCAAUACUGAUCAAUAAACACUUACUUUGUCUAGUUUAUAGCAUGGCUCCAAUAUAACCAUAAAAUAUCACAGAAGGAGUUUGAGUCACAGAAAACUUC
RNAcentral lists this long non-coding RNA (6154 nucleotides) under Homo sapiens (human). RNAcentral describes it as "HSALNT0107684". Lineage: Eukaryota; Metazoa; Chordata; Mammalia; Primates; Hominidae. The record is from RNAcentral.